This 427-nucleotide ribosomal RNA is filed under the name uncultured eukaryote. RNAcentral's name for it is "bacterial SSU rRNA". It matches the Rfam family "Eukaryotic small subunit ribosomal RNA", at positions 592 to 1017 of the family's 1831-position model. The record is from RNAcentral.
CAGUAGCGUAUAUUAAUGUUGCUGCAGUUAAAAAGCUCGUAGUUGGAUUUCUGAUAUGAUUCACUUGGCCCGCCAGCUAUGCUGUGUGUGUGCUUUGGUGCAUCUAUCAUCCUUCAAGUAAGGCUGUGUUGCCGAAAGGUAUACGCUGUUCGAACUUGAUCUGUUACUUUGAAAAAUUAGAGUGUUUCAAGCAAGCUUACGCUUAUGAAUACCUUAGCAUGGAAUGACGAUAUAGGACUUUGGUCUCUAUCUUGUUGGUUCAGGAGCUGAAGUAAUGAUUGAUAGGGAUGGUUGGGGGUGCUAGUAUUCCAUGGCCAGAGGUGAAAUUCUUGGAUUCAUGGAAGACUAACUUAUGCGAAAGCAUUCACCAAGGACAUCUUCUUUAAUCAAGAACGAAAGUUGGGGGAUCGAAGACGAUUAGAUACCA